UCUUACUAAAAUUCACAUAUCUUAAAAUAUAAAUUUCUUUUUUUCUACACCGUUAUUUUUCCAUGAAAAUAGACUCAACAAGCUUUAAUUCCAUAUAUCAUUCACCCUCUAAUUCAUUUUAUACUAUCUUGGGUGAUUUUUCAAAUUCACGUCACUGUGCUGCCUGAAUUCUGUUUCUUUGCAAAAUUUUAUCCUUUCAUGAUUUCCAUGCAUAAUUUAUCACCUAAUAUUUCAUAACAACAAACACCUUCAUCCUUAAUCAUUUUAAUAACCAUACAUCAUCAAAUACUUACACAUCACUCAUUAGCAAAAUCAUCACUACAAACAUACAAAAUAACUAAAUUCCUAUACAUGUCAUAACUUAAACGUGUUUCGAUAUAAAAUACCGAGCAGUUGUAGUUGAUAGUGUGGACGAUCUCCGACUUCUUUAGGAUCCUUGAAGUAGCUUUGCAAUACUAUAAGAGAAAGAAAUAAAAGAAGUAAGCAUAAAGCUUAGUAAGUUUACUAGCAAAUAAAUAACAAUAUUUAACUUAAAUAAUUAAACUCAAUGUCUAUAUCUCUAGUUUACUCUUUAGUUAAUCUCAUACUAGUUCUCUUACUUGUUUACUUAGAAUAUUUGUGUGCAUAACUUACUCAAUCCUUGCUGCAUCGUUGAACAUCAAUUGAUAGUAUAAUAAGUUCUUAAGUCUUACAACUUACCUGAGCUUGCCAUUUAUGCUUUAAAAACAUGAUUCGUUUACAAGCCCGUUGAACUACAUUGGAAUAAUAAGGAUACUCGGGUCUCUUCUGAUAAUAACAUGCCAAAGCCAUGUCCCAGACAUGGUCUUACAUGGGAUGUUCUCGUGAUGGUGCCCAUGCCAUGUCCCAAACAUGGUCUUAUAGGGGACCUCUCAUCUCGGUGCCAACGCCAUGUCCCAGACAUGGUCUUACAUGGGACCUCUCGUCUCGGUGCCCAUGCCAUGUCCCAGACAUGGUCUUACAGGGGACCUCUCAUGAUCUUAAGGAUGCCAAUGCCAUGUCCCAGACAUGGUCUUACAUGGGAUCUCUUUACCCAAAUGUCAUGACAUUCGUAUCCAGUACCAUCCUUAUGUAUCAACGGGACUUUUAAAUUUUAAUUCUCUAUCAUUUCAUGCUUGGAUCAUCAUCAAAUAAAUUCAUAAAAUAAAUUCAUAAUUGCUGGAAAUUAACAGCAUUAAUAAUAAAUAUUGAAAUAUUGCAUUUAUUUACCGUAAACUUACCUCGGUACCAAUUAUAGCCAAAUUCACCAACUUAGUCUUCAACUUUAUUCUUCCCUUUGUCUAACCUCGAGUUUCGUACUUCUUGAUCUAAAAUAGUAAAUUUAACUUAUUUAAUAAUCACAUUCAUCAAAAUAGCCCUCGACUCUAACUUUUUCAAAAUUACAAUUUUGCCCCUAAACUUUUACAUAAUUACAUUUUUGCCCCAAGGCUCGGAAAUUAAACUUCAUCUCUUAUUCUUAUGUUUUAUAACAUUCUGAACAUUUUUCCCUUCUAUGGCAACAUCAAAUUCUAAUUUAAUCCCUUAUCAAUACUAAUUUUAUUUUUGCAUUCUAACUCUAUAUUCUCUCUUAAUUCUUACUAUAAAGUCAAUUUAAUUCCUCAAUUUCACCAUAAAUCCCUAAUUUCGGGAUUCUUUCAAUUUAAUCCCUAUCGAUUCAAAACUUAUAUUUUAUUUUACAAUUAUGUUCUUUACUAACUUCUAACUUGAAAUUAAAUCAAUUUAACCCCUAACUAAACCUAUAUAUUUUUCUUUCUCAAUUCAUACCCUUAUUCUACCCAAUUUCUUGCUAAACUCAUAUUUAACUAUUUAAUUUUUAUCAUGUUUUCAUAAUUUCGAAUUUAUUUCAAAUUAAUCCCUAAAAUUCAAAACUUAUAGUUUAGUUUACAAUUCAAUCCUUUAUUCAAUUCCAAUCAAAAUUUCUAUCAAAUACAUCCCUAAUUUAACAAUUUAUUCAACAUGAACCAUGCUUAAUAAUCUACUAACUUCCAAAAUUUCAACUUAAUCAAGUAGUAUUUUGUUCUAGGAUUUCAAAAAAAAUAUCAAAAUUAAGAGAAAAUGGGAUUAAAUUGACUUACCAAAUUACUUUGAACCUUAAAACCCCAAAUUUCCCUUUUUCUUUUCUUUUCUUUCUUUCUUUCUUUCCUUCCUUCCUUCUCUGUUUCGUUUUGCUCUCUGUUUCUUUCUUUCUCCCUUCUCUGUUUUGUUUUGCUCUCUGUUUCUUUUCUUUCUUUCUUUGUCAUAUAUAUAUAAUAAUAAUAUAAUAUAAUAUAAUAUAAUAUAUUAAUAAUAAUAUAAUAUAAAAACAUAAUUAUUACUUACGCAUGUAUAAUAUAAUAUAUAUUUUAAAUU
Molecule: long non-coding RNA, 2367 nt
Filed under: Gossypium barbadense (sea-island cotton)
Lineage: Eukaryota; Viridiplantae; Streptophyta; Magnoliopsida; Malvales; Malvaceae
Description: long non-coding RNA (GBAR_LNC013128)
Source: RNAcentral